Long non-coding RNA from Lolium perenne, 1818 nucleotides. RefSeq lists it as uncharacterized. The record is from RefSeq and is a predicted model, not a curated record. Lineage: Eukaryota; Viridiplantae; Streptophyta; Magnoliopsida; Poales; Poaceae.
UCUUUCUCUCAUACUCUUGUUUUUUUUCCUGAUGUGUGGGCCCCGCAAUCAUCACCAACCUUCAGCCAGAGUUCAUAUCACGUACGCCGAUGAACCAGAACCGAAAACUGCCCAGAAAAAUCUCCGAUUCGGCUCAGAUUUUUGCCCCUCUGCCACGAAAUUCCCCCAUAAAUACCCAUGUAUCCCCUUUGUUUUUCCCCUCCGAAAAUCUAAUUUGGUUGCCGCCAGGCUGCCUCGAUUUCGCUCGCCGGAGUUCGACAUCUGCCACGGCGCCAUCGCCGAUUUCAGCCGCCAGACAACCUCCGUGACGACGACAUCCACGACGCCACCGGAGCUCGUCGCCGCGUCUGUGACUUCGGCCGAGCAGCAGGACACGGAAGUUGACGUUGACCACGCCCCCGCAUCAUCUCGACGAGCCCCGUCUUGUACGCGUUUUUUUUUCCCUAGCCGAAAGAGCGCCGGAGAUCCGCCGCGGAGCAAGUCCGAUCCGUCACUGCCAGUAUUGUCCGGAGUGCAACGAGUGCGACUGCGGUGAUUGUCUGAACAAUAACGAAGGCAAGUGUCACACACCGUUCUAUCCUACUAUUUUUCUAUGCACUUUGUAGUUAUUUUCAGUAGCUAUCCAUGUGUAGGAUUGUUUUAAAUAUAUAUUGCUAUGCUAUGAACACCUAUUAGAACAGCCACAUGUUCAACAAUUGAUUCUUUUGUCGCCACCGUGUUGUUGUUUGCUUAGCAAUGCUAUCUUAGAUGCGUGGAUUGGGUUAUCAUGAUAAGUUUAGAUGAAUAAAAUUAUAUGUUUUGAUAUAAUGAAAACAACCUGAAUAAUGAAACACCUGGACGGAUUGGUAAGACGGGAGCGUCUGCACGGUGAACAAUGGUGGGGAUUGCCGCCCAGGGAUCAAAGAGAUUGGACAGGUUUCUUGUUUAGUAGCUUCCGUGUACAGCCGCAUGUCAUAUGGGCUCUGGCUUGACUAAUUAAGUUGUAGGAACCCGACCUGACGUGACUAGCAGAUGUAGCUGUGUAGGUUGGCAUGGGUCCGUCCAGAUGGCUUGGGGUCCUACUUCUGAAAACGGUCUCGACUUAGUCUUUUCCCGACCAUUUGAGCAAAUUGAGCAUCAUGGUAAAAGGGGCUGACUAGGUCAUGUGGGUAAAGUGUACAAUCCUCUCGAGAGUGUCAAACUAAGUACUUAGCCGUGUCCCCGGUUACGGACAACUAUGAGCAACUAGGCAUGUUACUGUUUGGAAGAUCUCAGCAUUCCAAUUUCUUAAUAAAACUUGAUGGGAAACAAUGGGUAUAGGAGCAUGCAAAGCUAGGCUGGCUUGUGUCUACAUGGGUCUAUGCUAGCAUGUCCAUAGAUGUUUAGGAGCAUAUGAAGCCGACUGUCUUGCUGCAGCAUGGGUUGUGCUAAUAUGUUCUUAGACGAUGUUUCUAAAUAAAAUGAUUUAUAAAGGAUAGGGAAACUAUUGCUUUCUGCAAAUUAGCCUAAACUCCACCUGCCAAAUGAGCACGUAGUUGUUAGGUGCCAUUAUAUAUAUAUCCACCAAAUAGUGACAUUUGCCAAUACAAUUCCAAAUGUAUUGACCCUGCGUGGUUGCAACGUUUUAUGUUGCAUGUUACCCCGAGGACGAGUAAGGUAUCGAUUUUAGGUCGCGAGCUUCCACUCAACAUGUUCGCCUGUGGCGUGAUGGAGCUCUUUGAAUUUAUUUGUUUUCCGCUUUGAACUCUGUUAUUUGAGCUAGCCAUGAGCUAUGCAAGUUGUAAUAAAUAUAUUUUGGAUCAUACGUUGUAAUAAAUGACGCAUUUGCUAUUCUGUUUA